GGGGGUGCACCGGUUUCGACUGGAACGAAGGUGUGUCCGGUUGCAGGUGGAGGGCCGGUCUCCUAAAAAGCGGCAAAAAAAAUAUAACUGCCAAUAAUAACGCAGAUUAUCAAUUAGCCGCAGCGUAAGCUAAGGCUAUCGGGCUUGCGGCACACCGCCUUGAGGGCCGCUCAGCUUGCAACAAAACCAGGGCUUGCCAACCACGGGAUCCGGCCUGUGGGCGGGAGACUUUCCGGAAUACGGUGUACGCGGGCCUUUGUUCCGCCUUGCCUCACCCGACAAUUAAGGAACAAAUAAACCUGUAGAAAGCCUGAUGUAUCCGUUUUAGGACGCGGGUUCAAUUCCCGCCACCUCCAA
Molecule: transfer-messenger RNA, 357 nt
Filed under: Spirochaetales bacterium
Lineage: Bacteria; Pseudomonadati; Spirochaetota; Spirochaetia; Spirochaetales
Rfam family: transfer-messenger RNA
About the family: Bacterial tmRNA, also known as 10Sa RNA or SsrA, is named for its dual tRNA and mRNA-like properties. Its role is to liberate the mRNA from a stalled ribosome.
Source: RNAcentral